Molecule: ribosomal RNA, 254 nt
Filed under: uncultured bacterium
Lineage: Bacteria
Description: partial 16S ribosomal RNA
Rfam family: Bacterial small subunit ribosomal RNA
Source: RNAcentral
UACGUAGGGUCCAAGCGUUGUCCGGAAUUAUUGGGCGUAAAGAGCUCGUAGGCGGUGUGUCGCGUCGGCCGUGAAAACCUGCAGCUUAACUGUGGGCUUGCGGUCGAUACGGGCAUCACUGGAGUUCGGCAGGGGAGACUGGAAUUCCUGGUGUAGCGGUGAAAUGCGCAGAUAUCAGGAGGAACACCGGUGGCGAAGGCGGGUCUCUGGGCCGAUACUGACGCUGAGGAGCGAAAGCGUGGGGAGCGAACAGG